Molecule: long non-coding RNA, 445 nt
Organism: Rosa rugosa (rugosa rose)
Lineage: Eukaryota; Viridiplantae; Streptophyta; Magnoliopsida; Rosales; Rosaceae
Exons: 4
Source: RefSeq, a predicted model, not a curated record
UGAGAGAGAAGAGAACAAGGAAGAAAGCAAGAAAACAGAAGAAAAGAAAAGAAAAGAAGAAGAAGAGGGAGACGGGAAGUCAGCACAGGUGCAUGAUGGUCGAUUUGAACAGAAAUCGAGUAAACUGAUCAUUCCAGAAUCGGCAACAAGAUGGAGCUAUUAGGACAAAAGUAAGCUCUUGGUUAGAUGAUACCCACAAUUGUGCAUUCGACCAACUGCGAGUUGUCAAAGUAAGCGACUUUUCCGGCAUGAAAGCUGAACUAGCACUCAUCAGGUGAUGUCUUCUGUGGAGUUGGUCCAAUAGCUAUCUCUGCAGCAUAGAUUGUAGGACGAGUUUAUGCUGCUAAAUAUCUGCAAGGAAAUAGUGGUCUCAACAACCUCGAUAGGAAGAUUAAGGUACAUGCAAGAUUAUCUUCCCUGUCAGUGCUUCUACUCCUGCUGAAUU